This 729-nucleotide ribosomal RNA is filed under the name bacterium. RNAcentral's name for it is "bacterial SSU rRNA". It matches the Rfam family "Bacterial small subunit ribosomal RNA", at positions 53 to 781 of the family's 1533-position model. The record is from RNAcentral.
ACAUGCAGUCGAGCGAGGUCUUAAGACCCUAGCGGCGGACGGGUGAGUAACACGUAGGCAACCUGCCCAUAAAACGGGGAUAACAUAGGGAAACUUAUGCUAAUACCGGAUAGGGUCUUCUCCCGCAUGAAAGAAAACGGAAAGGGGGCGCAGGCUACCACUUGGGGAUGGGCCUGCGGCGCAUUACCUAGUUGGGGGGGUAACGGCCUACCAAGGCAACAAUGCGUACCCAACCUGAAAGGGUGACCGGCCACCCUGGAACUAAAACACGGCCCAAACUCCUACGGAAGGCAGCAGUAGGGAAUUUUCCACAAUGAACGAAAGUCUGAUGGAGCACCGCCGCGGGAACAAUGAAGGCCUUCGGGUUGUAAAGUUCUGUUGUCAGGGACAAACAAGUACCGUUCGAAUAGGGCGGUACCUUGACGGUACCUGACAAGAAAGCCACGGCUAACUACGUGCCAGCAGCCGCGGUAAUACGUAGGUGGCAAGCGUUGUCCGGAUUUAUUGGGCGUAAAGCGCGCGCAGGCGGCUAUGUAAGUCUGGGGUUAAAGCCCGGGGCUCACCCCCGGUUCGCAUCGAAAACUGUGUAGCUUGAGUGCAAAAAAGGAAAGCGGAAUUCCACGUGUAGCGGUGAAAUGCGUAAAGAUGUGAAGGAACACCAGUGGCGAAGGCGGCUUUCUGGCCUGUAACUGACGCUAAGCCGAAAGCGUGGGAAGCAAACAGGAUUAA